GCUGGGUGUGGUGGUGCACGCCUGUAAUCCCAGCUACUUGGGAGGCUGAGACAGGAGAAUUGCUUGAACCCAGGAGGUGGAGGUUGCAGUGAAUUGAGAUUGUGUCACUGUGCUCCAGCUUGGGUGACAAAGGAAGAUUCUGCCUCAA
This 148-nucleotide non-coding RNA is filed under the name Nomascus leucogenys (northern white-cheeked gibbon). Lineage: Eukaryota; Metazoa; Chordata; Mammalia; Primates; Hylobatidae. The record is from Rfam by way of RNAcentral.